GAAGAACACCAGUGGCGAAAGCGGCUUGCUAGAUCGUAACUGACGUUGAGGCUCGAAAGUAUGGGUAGCAAACGGGAUUAGAUACCCCGGUAGUCCAUACCGUAAACGAUGGGUGCUAGUUGUUAAGAGGUUUCCGCCUCCUAGUGACGUAGCAAACGCAUUAAGCACCCCGCCUGAGGAGUACGGCCGCAAGGCUAAAACUUAAAGGAAUUGACGGGGACCCGCACAAGCGGUGGAGCAUGUGGUUUAAUUCGAAGAUACGCGAAAAACCUUACCAGGUCUUGACAUACCAAUGAUCGCUUUUGUAAUGAAAGCUUUUCUUCGGAACAUUGGAUACAGGUGGUGCAUGGUCGUCGUCAGCUCGUGUCGUGAGAUGUUGGGUUAAGUCCCGCAA
This 394-nucleotide ribosomal RNA is filed under the name Oenococcus oeni. RNAcentral's name for it is "bacterial SSU rRNA". It matches the Rfam family "Bacterial small subunit ribosomal RNA", at positions 701 to 1092 of the family's 1533-position model. Lineage: Bacteria; Bacillati; Bacillota; Bacilli; Lactobacillales; Lactobacillaceae. The record is from RNAcentral.